Molecule: long non-coding RNA, 2146 nt
Organism: Daphnia carinata
Lineage: Eukaryota; Metazoa; Arthropoda; Branchiopoda; Diplostraca; Daphniidae
Exons: 12
Source: RefSeq, a predicted model, not a curated record
ACUGCUCUCUACGAACAUUAUGCGCAGUACUAAGGAAUGGACGGCAGUGAUGAGAUGGUAGCAAGAGGUUUCCGACAUUUUGGGCCCGUGAUGUCGAAAAGUUCGUUCUUGAAGAAAGAAGAACGAAACUAUCAUGGAGGUUUUACAACCAACUAGCUUAAUAUGGACCGUGUUUCAUACCUGCAAAUCGACCGUAUGUUCUGCAGUUGUACCACGUUGCAUCCAGGCAUUUUUAAGGAAAAAUCUAUUGCCCCGCAGAAUCCGGGGGGUAAUAGCAUUUUGUCUAUUGCUCCCCCGGAAUCUGUGGGGCAAUAGGCGUCACCCAUGUUUAAUGUAAAGCUGUUUGCUUUGGGUGAAAUUUAUGCAGUAUAAAGUUCUGGAUGAUAAAAUUGCAUUUGGGAUGUGACCCAAACUACUGGAUCUCUGUCUCGCAAUGACAUCUGGCAAAGGUUUCCUGUUGCUGAUGUGCUAGCCAUGAUACUGACAGAUCUUUGUAACAUUUUUAGAAGAAGCACGAAGUGGAGCUUUUUGGAGAACCCGACAAAGAUAUCAAAGCUGUCUUCAACAUGAAAGGACAUGGUAGAAGAAUUACCAACUGUUGGGCGGUCAGCUGUAGGUGUUUGUUACGAAAAAGUACGAAAAUCAAACAAUGAUGGUCGCUAUGGUGGUUGUCCCGAAAACUCAGCCGAAUGCGAAGCUCGUUAAGAAGCAGCGUACUACUUCAUGAGAACCACGAAUUAUGCACACCGAGGCCAAACAGUAAGGGCCUCUAGGGUAAUUAUCUAGACAGAAUGUCGAUCAACUCGUCGUUACUGUCUGAUAUUAACACAUCUGCGAGCAAGGACCUUUACGGGCUAUGGGAUCCUCAAAACGUAUGACAACGAGCCCAUAUUCAAGUUGUAGCUCGAAAGUUCUACAACUAAUGUUUUCCCUGAACAUCAAUGCAGCAUGGAAUGCUUUACAGAUGCCUAAUGCGAGAUGUGGAAAAUGCUUGACAGAAUGUGUAGGCUAUUUUGAUUAGACACAUUGGUACCUAAGGUUUCUUGUGUUGGGUACAUCAAAGCAGAAAUAAUUGUACUACAAAAAAUGUGCAAGGCAUGCUGGUCUGUUCUUCACAAUUAUGAGAGCUUUCAACUCCAUCUAUCUAAAACCUCCUGGCCUUUGGUCUUAUUAUUUGACCAGCUAUUGCAAAUCAAGUCGAGGUUAGUUUCAAAACGAAGAGGAAAGAAUACUAUAGAAUUUGUGGUGUUUGCAUCAGCAAUGGACCCUUCUUCUAUUUCAGAAUCGCAAGGCUUUUGCGGUCCAAUCUGAGUGAAAACUGCUGUGUAACUUAUUACAUGAGGAACUGGCGAUUUUUGGAGAUGGUUACACCUGAUUAAAUUCUUCUGAAAGAGAAGCAUUUGCCUAUGGAUAAUGGUAACCCCAAGUGCGUCAAAACUUCGUUCCUAAAAAGAAGUUUCUAGUACCUGGCCAAGGAAACAGUUUUUAGCCUUAUUAUAUGACAAACCUUCCGAAGUCGCACUAAGUUGAAUUUAUUAAUGAAGGGGAAAGAAAACUUCAAAAAAAAUUGGAGCUUUGCAUUGUCGAAGAAUUUCUAUUGGGUCGGAUUUCAAAAGUGCUAGCCUUGGGCGUUAUUAAAUGUUCAGUCGUCUAUGGUUCUUCAAUAAUUUGUUCCACGUGCUAUUGCGUGACUAUUGUUAGAAUUUCGCCAUCCAAGUUAUGAGGAAACUCGUGUAGCUUCUCAAUUCAUGAUGAACAAAGGAUUCGCGAUCGCCAUUGGAGAUGUUGCAUUUGAAGAAGCAGAUGAGGCAGGCAAUAGUUAUCUGUUGCUGUACAGUGCGCUCGCGGCCUCUCCGGUGUUAGCAGUGCAAUUGGCACAUGAAACGAUGUUUCAACGAAUACGAAUGCAGUCGUCUUUCGGUUCAGCGUUGGAUAAGGAAAUAGGCAACGGUUAUGAUGUGUCCGGCAGUAUGUUCCAUUACGAUCGCCGUAACGGAACACGUUUUACGUAAUUUCGUUUUCUAUGUCCGGACAUUGGAAACAUUUUAGGUGAUAUUCUUUGUUUGUUGCUCGUGCUGCCACAUGAAACCUGUCGUUGGCUUAUUUUGAGAAAAUGUGCAUGUCCUAUAUCGUUCUUUGUACCAUA